This 1403-nucleotide long non-coding RNA is filed under the name Mytilus galloprovincialis (Mediterranean mussel). Lineage: Eukaryota; Metazoa; Mollusca; Bivalvia; Mytilida; Mytilidae. The record is from RNAcentral.
GAGACAGCAGAAGAAAGUUACUUAUUUAUAACUCAUCAUGACCAUUUAAUACCGAAAAUCUGAUUAAAAUUUGUUUGGAAAGCCACCAAAUAUUUCAAUGAAAAGAAGAAAAAAGACAGCAAUUCUAUAUCAUGUAUAUCAUGUACUAAGCAGAAGCAUUUGCUGUUUCAAGACCCAGUUGAAUUGGAGUUUAGUGUUUUGAUGCAGUGAGACAGAGGAAUAUUUAAGUGAACAGUUUAGCUUCUUUUUCAUCAUCGUGAUCAUUAAAGUUGAUGUUUACCAUCGGAGAGAGCUUUUUCCUCAGUUGAAAUGAAUUCUAAAUACAGGCAGUUUGGAGACUUUGUAUAUUUCUUACAAUUGGAGUUCUAAAAAGGAUUACAUUUAAAAAAAAAAAUGUGUUGCAACAGUUUCAUGGAUUUAAUUUUGUGUCUCUUUCGUGAAAUAUUUGAAAAAUCUGCAAUAUCUAACCAAGUAGUUUAUUAGAGAUCUACAGAUGAACAUAUGACAUGUAUGACAUUCAGAUGAAUUUGAAAGAAGGAAAUAUAUUUAUUUAUAAGACUUUAAUAUGAGUGUUUAGUUAUUUUUUGGCAAUUACAGGCAUGACAGGGAGUAAUUAUAAGAUAAAGUUAUUUGAUUUAAACAUAAAUCCUACCUACAGAUAUACAUGCGAUAUACAUAUAUGCAUGUAGGCAUACAAUUCACUGACACACCACUAAUUUGAGUUACAUGUACAUGUAAUGAUAAAAGUAAGAAUAUGACAUAUAAAAAAAAAUUGAUUCACUCAGAUUGCCAAUGAAACAACUCUCCAUCAGGGAAAAAAUAGUUGUUUAUAUAUUGGCCACCUGCAGAGACAUGAAGAGAACAAGAAAAUCAUAUUUUAUCAUGAUUUAUAAUUUUUCUAUUUCAUUUCAUAUAAACACUGAAUACAGGCCUACAUUUGUAGGUGUACAAAAAGUUCAAAAGCAUAAAACAGUGUUGUAAUCAUGCAGUUGUUGUUCAUCUGAAAGUCGUAUGAUAUUGAUGUUGGGCUUCAAUAAUGAGCAAAUUAAAACAUCUGUAUAACAGCCACAUAAUGGUUAAUUUUGAACAAAAUAAUUAUGGGUAUUUCCAUUUUGUACAUGCAUGUAUAUAUGUAUUGUACAUGAAGAUGUGUAUCUCAUGUACAUACAUGUACAUGUAGCUUGUUUAUACUUGGAAAUCAGAAAAUGCAAUGUUUUCAUUUCUUGUUCUUGUCUAAACUAAAAUUGGUUAUUUAUAUAAUGACAUAAAUUAAUGACAUGAUAAUUGUAAAUGUUUGGCAUAAAAAAUAUAAAUUUAUUUAAAUGAUGGUAUUACAAUGCAUUAUUUGUAUCCAGGAUUUUCUGUAACUGCAAUAAUAAAUCUCACAUUUAUCAUGUUUAUUG